This 271-nucleotide ribosomal RNA is filed under the name uncultured archaeon. RNAcentral describes it as "partial 16S ribosomal RNA". It matches the Rfam family "Archaeal small subunit ribosomal RNA", at positions 728 to 998 of the family's 1478-position model. RNAcentral also lists the same sequence under 1 other name. The record is from RNAcentral.
AUUAGAUACCCGUGUAGUCCUAGCCGUAAACGAUACUCGCUAGGUGUCGGCCACGGUGCGACCGUUGUCGGUGCCGUAGGGAAGCCGUGAAGCGAGCCACCUGGGAAGUACGGCCGCAAGGCUGAAACUUAAAGGAAUUGGCGGGGGAGCACCACAACGGGUGGAGCUUGCGGUUUAAUUGGAUUCAACGCCGGAAAUCUUACCGGGACCGACAGCAAUAUGAAGGCCAGGCUGAAGACUUUGCCGGAUUAGCUGAGAGGUGGUGCAUGGC